GUACCUGCACAUAUUGGAAUAGAGGGUAAUGAGUUGCAGAAAAGUUGGCAAAAAAAGGCACUAAAGGGUAAUAUAUUAGAUAUAGAUGUGUCAUUAGGUAGGGGAGAAAUGAAAUCAAUAAUUAAAAAUACAAUAUUAAAUAAGUGGCAAAGGGAAUGGGAUUCAGGUAAAUAAGGAAGACAUUACUAUAAUGUUCAACCAAUAUGAGAGAGCAAACACAAUAUUGGACAGAAUAGAAGAGAGGACGUCCGGCCGGGAUUUCUAAAUUUGUGAAAAUGUCCGGGAUUCGGCUUUAGUUGCAUUAUGAUGUGCAUCUGGUCUAAUACUACAUUGUGUGUGCGUGCAUAUUUGAAUUGCUUUAACCCCUCUUUGUAAGUCCCGCCUGCUCGCACACCAGUUGGUCGAUUAUAAGAGGCUUGCAGCGACUAUUGGCCAAAUUCCUGCCUGUCAAUCUCUCCGCGAACGCGCGAAGCGCUGUUGUGUUCAGCAUCAAACAGUUGAUUGACAGUAGUAGCCAAUGACAGCUGAGUGGAAACAAUGCCCAAACGAAAGUGCAAAUUUACAGAAGAUUUGCACAAAAAUUCCCAUGCUUUCAUCCAGGUCAAGAUCUGUGGGAAGCAGAAUGUAUGACAUGUAAAGCUGGCACUUAUGUGUCAGUUGCUAAUAAAGAUGCAAGUGAUUUAGAAGCACACAUUAGCUCUGCGAAGCAUAAAGGGUCAGCAAAAGGUGAAAGUUCAUCAGGUAAAUUAACAGACUACUUUUUGUGACCAGGUAGAAUUGUUAUCGCAUUGCUUCAUUUUCCAUGGCCAUUCAAAAUAAUAGUAAUAGUAAAUGAAGGUACACUCAUGGCAUCAAAUAGUAUAUUUUAGUACAUGGACAUUCAAAAGAAUGUUGGAACCUUAAAAUGUUAGGUUCUUUUUUCUACCCAAACGCUGGGUUGAGCCGUUUGGGUCAUUUUAAUGGGUUAUUUUCUCAGUGUUGGGUAGUUUUUGUGUAACCCAGUCGCUGGGUUAGAUGUUGGGUCAUUUUCACUGACAGUUGAAAAAGUGCACCCCUCCCCCACCCCGACGUAUCAGCCCAACUCCUGUCUCAAAUCAGCUCAACUCUUUAGUUACCUGACACGGGAUUUUUGAAUCGCCUCAGGAAGGAGCGGUUUUCAGCGAGGACAAAUUGUUGGAUUUGUUUGGAGAAACGAGAUUUCACAAGACUUCUCAUGUUGAUCCCCGACCAUGCAGAGAGGCUAUUUGCAACGUGGACCUUGAGUUUUAAAGACAAAAUAUAAGGCUCAGGAGCUUCUCUCCAACAUAGACAAUUUGCCUCCAGAAGCCCAAGGUGAUGUUGCACUCAGACUGCUUCCUGUGAUCUUGCCAACCCCUGUCUACAAAAGUGGGAAGAAAAUGUUCAAACCAAAUUUGGAAGAAAAUGUGAAGUCUUUCAUUGAAUUCAAGCAUCAGGUUGGGACCAACGUUGUUGAAUACUUGGGGGAGGCUGAGAUCGCUAAACCCAUCCCCUUUGUUGCUGGCAGACAUGCACUACAGCAAAACACUCUCCUUGGUGCUGUGGACACAUGCUUUAAACUUUUUUAUAUUUUGGACAUUCAUUUCCCAAAGCAGUGUGCACCAGUGUGGGAGUUUCUGCAGACCGUUGUCUACAAACUCCCAGGAACAGAAUCCCCUUCAGUAAGACUGCUGCGUGGUUAUUUGUCAUGCUAAGCAGUACUGGAACCACAACAUUUGUUAUGUGAGUUUGUAUAAAGAAGAAAGUUGUCAAACCUACCUUAAUAAUUUUUAUAUAUAUCUUAGUCUUUUUAGCUGUCUGAUGCUCCACUAUCUUCACCAGCUGGUUGCAGACUUAAAUUUGACCAAGCUGAUAAUGCAUUUGUAUAUUUGUGCCACUGUGUUCUUCUGCAACUUUAUGUUUACCUUAUUGUAGUAAUGUUAAUGUACUUUUGAAACAAAGCUAUUAAUGUAUUUUUUUUUUUUUUUUUAAGAUUUGUGAACAGAAAUUUGAUGAAUU
Molecule: long non-coding RNA, 2016 nt
Organism: Myxocyprinus asiaticus (Chinese sucker)
Lineage: Eukaryota; Metazoa; Chordata; Actinopteri; Cypriniformes; Catostomidae
Exons: 4
Source: RefSeq, a predicted model, not a curated record